This 444-nucleotide ribosomal RNA is filed under the name uncultured prokaryote. RNAcentral describes it as "bacterial SSU rRNA". It matches the Rfam family "Bacterial small subunit ribosomal RNA", at positions 355 to 796 of the family's 1533-position model. The record is from RNAcentral.
UGAGGAAUAUUGGACAAUGGAGGCAACUCUGAUCCAGCCAUGCCGCGUGUAGGAAGACUGCCCUAUGGGUUGUAAACUACUUUUAUAGAGGAAGAAACCCCGGUAUGUAUACCGGUUUGACGGUACUCUACGAAUAAGGAUCGGCUAACUCCGUGCCAGCAGCCGCGGUAAUACGGAGGAUCCAAGCGUUAUCCGGAAUCAUUGGGUUUAAAGGGUCCGUAGGCGGGUUUGUAAGUCAGUGGUGAAAGUUUACGGCUCAACCGUGAAAUUGCCAUUGAUACUGCAAGUCUUGAAUCGUUAUGAAGUGGUUAGAAUAAGUAGUGUAGCGGUGAAAUGCAUAGAUAUUACUUAGAAUACCGAUUGCGAAGGCAGAUCACUAAUAAUGUAUUGACGCUAAGGGACGAAAGCGUGGGUAGCGAACAGGAUUAGAUACCCCCGUAGUCC